GACGAACGCUGGCGGCGUGCUUAACACAUGCAAGUCGAACGGAAAGGCCCUGCUUUUGUGGGGUGCUCGAGUGGCGAACGGGUGAGUAACACGUGAGUAACCUGCCCUUGACUUUGGGAUAACUUCAGGAAACUGGGGCUAAUACCGGAUAGGAGCUCCUGCUGCAUGGUGUGGGUUGGAAAGUUUCGGCGGUUGGGGAUGGACUCGCGGCUUAUCAGCUUGUUGGUGGGGUAGUGGCUUACCAAGGCUUUGACGGGUAGCCGGCCUGAGAGGGUGACCGGACACAUUGGGACUGAGAUACGGCCCAGACUCCUACGGGAGGCAGCAGUGGGGAAUAUUGCACAAUGGGCGGAAGCCUGAUGCAGCAACGCCGCGUGCGGGAUGACGGCCUUCGGGUUGUAAACCGCUUUCGCCUGUGACGAAGCGUGAGUGACGGUAAUGGGUAAAGAAGCACCGGCUAACUACGUG
Molecule: ribosomal RNA, 468 nt
Filed under: uncultured bacterium
Lineage: Bacteria
Description: partial 16S ribosomal RNA
Rfam family: Bacterial small subunit ribosomal RNA
Source: RNAcentral